UCUUAAAUCAUUGUUUCAUGGUUCUUAAGAUAACGUAAGGGAUAAAAAUGAUAGUACCUUACUAUAAGUGUUGUCCAACAAUACUGGUGCCAGAAGACUCGGUAACGCCAGAAACGCAAACGUUAGUCGUCCUAAUCAGGCGUAAAGGGUAAGUAGGCUGCUUUGAAAGUUGUUAAUUAGAAAGCUCUUAAAAAAAAUUAAAGUAAUUAAUAAUGAAUUAAAGCUAGAAUCAAAUAGGGGAUAAGCCAAAUAAUAUUUAGUGUAAGGCUAAUAUCUUUAGAUACUAAAUGGAAUACUAAGGUGAAAACUUUUAUCUACUAAUGAUUGACGCUGAGGAACGAAGGUGAGAAUAGAAAACAGGAUUAGAGACCCAGGUAUCUCUCACUGUCAACGAUGAAUGGUAGUUGUUAGUUAAACUUAACUAGUAACGAUGUUAACGCGUUAACCAUUCCGCCUUGCGAGUAC
This 465-nucleotide ribosomal RNA is filed under the name Lepiota ignivolvata. RNAcentral describes it as "SSU rRNA". It matches the Rfam family "Bacterial small subunit ribosomal RNA", at positions 423 to 883 of the family's 1533-position model. Lineage: Eukaryota; Fungi; Basidiomycota; Agaricomycetes; Agaricales; Agaricaceae. The record is from RNAcentral.